RNAcentral lists this ribosomal RNA (468 nucleotides) under uncultured bacterium. RNAcentral's name for it is "partial 16S ribosomal RNA". It matches the Rfam family "Bacterial small subunit ribosomal RNA", at positions 28 to 507 of the family's 1533-position model. The record is from RNAcentral.
GACGAACGCUGGCGGCGUGCUUAACACAUGCAAGUCGAACGGAAAGGCCCUGCUUUUGUGGGGUGCUCGAGUGGCGAACGGGUGAGUAACACGUGAGUAACCUGCCCUUGACUUUGGGAUAACUUCAGGAAACUGGGGCUAAUACCGGAUAGGAGCUCCUGCUGCAUGGUGGGGGUUGGAAAGUUUCGGCGGUUGGGGAUGGACUCGCGGUUUAUCAGCUUGUUGGUGGGGUAGUGGCUUACCAAAGCUUUGACGGGUAGCCGGCCUGAGAGGGUGACCGGCCACAUUGGGACUGAGAUACGGCCCAGACUCCUACGGGAGGCAGCAGUGGGGAAUAUUGCACAAUGGGCGGAAGCCUGAUGCAGCAACGCCGCGUGCGGGAUGACGGCCUUCGGGUUGUAAACCGCUUUCGCCUGUGACGAAGCGUGAGUGACGGUAAUGGGUAAAGAAGCACCGGCUAACUACGUG